This is a non-coding RNA of Lolium perenne, 3253 nucleotides long. The record is from RefSeq and is a predicted model, not a curated record. Lineage: Eukaryota; Viridiplantae; Streptophyta; Magnoliopsida; Poales; Poaceae.
UCCUGCUUGCUGCCUCGAGGCUGGGAGACGUCCUGGCGCUCCCUCGCGCUCGCCACGACCCCCUCCUCACUCUCCCCAACUCACCCUCUCUCUCUAACGCGAAACGCAAACGAGACCAAACCCUAGUCCCACUGUCGUCGUCUAUCUCCGCCGCUCCGGCCAUCCCCAAGCCCGGCCGACACGCCCCGAAGCUCCGCCUAGCCACCACGAGUCUCCUGGUCGAAGGAAUUUGAUGCCACUCUUCCCCAAUCGACGGCAACGAGCCCGUCCGCCUGAAGUCCGGCCGCCGGCAACCAAUGUCGAUCUCGUUGCUCCGGCCUUCUUCGAGCUCGCCGUCGCCUCCAUAGCGCACAGGAGCAACUGUCCGAGAUGAUGAAGAUCAGCAACGACGCAACUCAAUGUCCAACGAUGAACAAGUCAAGCAUGGGAUCUCUGAAGAUCCAUAUCGGUUUGUCAGGGACAAAGGCAAGCCCUAGCCUGGUUCAUAUUAUGAUUUCGAAAUGAUUUUACUUCUGGUUCCUACAUAUUGCAUUCGUUCCUAAUAUGUUUUAUCGGCAGGUAUAGUUAUCCUAUGUGUUGCAUUUACCAUCCUUGUAGCCUAAAUACUCUGAUCCACUGCUCCCAGCAAGACUAGGUCUGAGCUAUGUGUGCAUCGCUAGAGCUGUUAUAUCGAAUAUGCUUAGCCAUGCUUAGUUGACGAAUCCUGAUCCAUCCGGUUGAUGAAUCAGAGCUGCCAAUGAACCUAGUAUGGCAGGAUGACAUGGUAAGAUCAGUGAUGAUAAUUAAACAUGUUUAAAGGCUUGGAUGGGCCGCCAGAUGGGGAUGUGGUGAUUUGACUCGUUCUCGCCGAUACUAGGACCUGAGGUUCUCGCCUUCGGAACCAAGACUAAGCGUACAGCCACACGGGGCCCAUGGGAACCCCUUGGCCCAAACUUGCCUAGCUUACCCAUGAGUCAAUUAGAUUGCGAGUUCCAUUUGGCAUUCUGCAUGGCGAAGACGUGGAAAAGGUUUUCAAAGGUGCAUCAUACAGGGACGUGGCUAGGGUGAAGGAUGCUGGAGGCAUUGAACUGGAUCCCCUGCGCACAAUGACCGGGACCGCCUUGGAGAAUGGCUACCUACGAUGAUGGAGUUCCCCAGUUAGAUUGACUGAUGGAAUAGGCGAAGCAAGGGAAAGAUUUUGGUCGACCACCCUCUGCCGGCACACCAAGUGUGUAACGUACAGCGCUAAGAGUCGGUUGGCGCGUGUGGGUAAAGUUGUACACCCCUGCAGGGUAAAUCUCUUCGAAAAUCCGUGUCCACGGUUACGGACGACUUGGUGAUGGAUUAUGUGAUCAUAGACAACAUGAACCUAAUCGUAAAAAUUGGAAUCAAAUGUGUGAAUAAGGAUCCCUCCUCAGGGUAUCGAGGGGGUGAUCCUAGUUGAUAGGUUCAGGUAAUGAUGAAGAUUCGGUGGAUUCAAUAUGAUGAUUAGUAGAGCUAUAGAUAUCGCUCUCUCAUCCCCCUUUUAAAAUGAUCUGAAUAGACGAGCUUCUGCUCCCUCUUAUUUAUAAAGGAAAUCUGGCUUUCCGCAAAAUAAGCUCCACAUAAAGCCUCGCAUACCAGCUUUGCUAAAAGGUUGUACUAAGUCUUGCUGAGUCCCUGUACUCAGCUUUGCAUGCUUUGUUUCAGACGAAGUCACUUCAACAAAUGAAGGUUUCUAGGUCGACAUCGACGAGUAGCUUGGGAUUCCCAGGUGGCAGCCUGGAAUCUAUGGGCUGGGACAUCGCCGUUAUGCUCCUAGCCUCUUAGGCCUUUUGAUAUCCUGCUAUUUAGAAUAGCAAAACUUCGCUUCCGUUGGUUGAUGAAAUGUUAGGUCAGUGACAUCUACUUGUAAUACUUAGGUUCUUUGCUCAGUUAUGAGCUUGUAUUACUCUUUGAAUCGUAAAGUCAUUGUUGGGUUACUGAUUCUCACCCUGUAGGCCCUAGAGAUCUAGGUUAGGCUUAUGCCAGAUGGAGAUCUGGGUUUGUCUAGCCCCGACCUACAGGGGAUCGACAAAAAUUACAUAAAUAAAACAUGGGUUAUCUCCCAAGAGUGUUUUUAACGCCUUUUAGCUAGGCGCAGAAAGCUUGAAUCAAGUAUUUUCAAGUGAAGAAGCAUCAAGAUCGUAACUUGUCCUAAUAAUAGAAUCAAAAUGUAACCUCUUUCUCUUUCUUGGGAAAUAUUCCAUACCUUUCUUGAGUGGGAGUUAAUAUUUAAUAAUCCCAUCUCUCAUAUCAAUAGGAGCACCAAUAGUUCUAAGAAAAGGUCUUCCCAAAACAAAAGGACAAGAAGCAUUGCAUUCAAUAUCCCAAACAAUAAAAUCAACAUGAAUAAAUUUAUUAUUAACCAUAAUAAAAACAUUAUUAACUAUCCCCAAAGGUUUAUUCUUAGCAAUAUCAGCAAAAUGAACAUCCAAAUAACAUUGUUCAAAAGGUGGCAAAUCAAGCAUAUCAUAAAUUUCUAGGCAUAACAGAGAUGCUCGCACCAAGAUCACAUAAAGCAUUGCAAUCAAAGUCAUUCACUUUCAUCUUAAUGAUGGUCUGCCAACCAUCUUCUAACUGCCUAAGAAUAGAAGCUUCAUGUUUUAAAUUCUCUUCUCUAAUUUGUAUGAGAGCAUUUGUAAUAUGUUUUUUAAAAGCCAUAUGUAUAGCACUAGUGAAAGAACAUGGAGCUCCCAUGUGUGGUUUUGGUAAUUGAUGACAAUCUCUAUGGACUAACGAUUGUAUUGAGAAUCUAUCUUAGGUCGUGUCCAUAGCCAUAUGAUGGUCUCAAGGUUGCGACAUGGAGAAGAUCGAGUACAAUGAAGAAGACGGACGAAGACGGUGUCGAAGGGAGAUGAAGACGAUGUAGAAGAUGAAGAGAGAUGAAGAGAGAUGAAGACGGUGUCGAAGAUGGAUGAAGACGGUGGCGUGCAUACAAGAUGGAUGAAGAUGGUGGUGUGUAUGUUGGAGGAAGACGGUGGCAUGUACAACGUUGAAGAGAGAUGAAGACGGAGCUUGCCGACUCGAGUGGAACGCGCAAGGACAAGGUUUGUGCUCGAUAGCAUAGUGGGUCACAUCAUCGGAGAGAGCUCAAACCUUGCAUGCAUUGCAUCGUGUUUCUUGGUUGUUCUUGGUCCUUAUCCAUGAGAUGGUUUAGAGCUUGUGUUCAUUCUCACGACAAGCUCUAGCUCAUCGGAAACGGAUUUGGGAUGCAUCGCAUGUUGCAUGUGCCAGAGUGAUGAUUUUCCUGAUA